CCUACGGGAGGCAGCAGUGGGGAAUUUUCCGCAAUGGGCGAAAGCCUGACGGAGCAAUACCGCGUGAGGGAGGAAGGCUCUUGGGUCGUAAACCUCUUUUCUCAAGGAAGAUAAUGACGGUACUUGAGGAAUAAGCAUCGGCUAACUCCGUGCCAGCAGCCGCGGUAAUACGGAGGAUGCAAGCGUUAUCCGGAAUGAUUGGGCGUAAAGAGUCCGUAGGUGGUAAUUCAAGUCUGUGGUUAAAGCGUGGAGCUCAACUCCAUAAGGGCCAUGGAAACUGAAUAACUAGAGUGAGGUAGGGGUAGAGGGAAUUCUCGGUGUAGCGGUGAAAUGCGUAGAUAUCGGGAAGAACACCGGUGGCGAAGGCGCUCUACUGGACCUUAACUGACACUGAGGGACGAAAGCUAGGGGAGCGAAAGGGAUUAGAUACCCCUGUAGUCCUAGCCGUAAACGAUGGAUACUAGGUGUUGCCCGUAUCGACCCGGGCAGUGCCGUAGCUAACGCGUUAAGUAUCCCGCCUGGGGAGUACGCACGCAAGUGUGAAACUCAAAGGAAUUGACGG
Molecule: ribosomal RNA, 562 nt
Filed under: uncultured bacterium
Lineage: Bacteria
Description: bacterial SSU rRNA
Rfam family: Bacterial small subunit ribosomal RNA
Source: RNAcentral